This 477-nucleotide ribosomal RNA is filed under the name uncultured bacterium. Its description in RNAcentral is "partial 16S ribosomal RNA". It matches the Rfam family "Bacterial small subunit ribosomal RNA", at positions 28 to 507 of the family's 1533-position model. The record is from RNAcentral.
GAUUAACGCUGGCGGCGUGCAUAACACAUGCAAGUCGAACGAUGAAACUUAAAUGAUUUCUUCGGAAUGAACUCAAGUGGAUGAGUGGCGGACGGGUGAGUAACGCGUGAGUAACCUGCCUUACACAAGGGGAUAGCCGUUGGAAACGACGAAUAAUACCCUAUGGAACUAUCACUUCGCAUGAAGCGAUAGUCAAAGUGUUAGCGGUGUAAGAUGGACUUGCGUCUGAUUAGCUAGUUGGUGCGAAAAAAGCCCACCAAGGCAACGAUCAGUAGCCGGCUUGAAGGAGUGUACGAGCACAUUGGGACUGACACACGGCCCAGACUCCUACGGGAGGCAGCAGUGGGGAAUUUUGCACAAUGGGGGAAACCCUGAUGCAGCGACGCCGCGUGAUUUAGAAGGCCUGCGGGUUGUAAAAAUCUUUUGUAUAGGAAGAAAAUGACAGUACUAUACGAAUAAGGUCCGGCUAAGUACGUG